GCCUGGUUGGCUCAGGUGGUAGAGCGGCUGGCCUGCAAAGGCAGUGGUUCCGGGUUCAAGUCCCGGACCAGAACG
This is a non-coding RNA of Dermacentor andersoni, 75 nucleotides long. The record is from the annotation of a RefSeq genome assembly. Lineage: Eukaryota; Metazoa; Arthropoda; Arachnida; Ixodida; Ixodidae.